Molecule: ribosomal RNA, 496 nt
Filed under: uncultured bacterium
Lineage: Bacteria
Description: partial 16S ribosomal RNA
Rfam family: Bacterial small subunit ribosomal RNA
Source: RNAcentral
AUGAACGCUGGCGGCGUGCCUAAUACAUGCAAGUCGAGCGAACAGACGAGGAGCUUGCUCCUCUGACGUUAGCGGCGGACGGGUGAGUAACACGUGGAUAACCUACCUAUAAGACUGGGAUAACUUCGGGAAACCGGAGCUAAUACCGGAUAAUAUAUUGAACCGCAUGGUUCAAUAGUGAAAGACGGUUUUGCUGUCACUUAUAGAUGGAUCCGCGCCGCAUUAGCUAGUUGGUAAGGUAACGGCUUACCAAGACAACGAUGCGUAGCCGACCUGAGAGGGUGAUCGGCCACACUGGAACUGAGACACGGUCCAGACUCCUACGGGAGGCAGCAGUAGGGAAUCUUCCGCAAUGGGCGAAAGCCUGACGGAGCAACGCCGCGUGAGUGAUGAAGGUCUUCGGAUCGUAAAACUCUGUUAUUAGGGAAGAACAAAUGUGUAAGUAACUAUGCACGUCUUGACGGUACCUAAUCAGAAAGCCACGGCUAACUACGUG